GGGUUGUGAGGUUAAGCGACUAAGCGUACACGGUGGAUGCCCUGGCAGUCAGAGGCGAUGAAGGGCGUGCUAAUCUGCGAUAAGCGCCGGUAAGGUGAUAUGAACCGUUAUAACCGGCGAUACCCGAAUGGGGAAACCCAGUGUGACUCGUCACACUAUCAUUAACUGAAUCCAUAGGUUAAUGAGGCGAACCGGGGGAACUGAAACAUCUAAGUACCCCGAGGAAAAGAAAUCAACCGAGAUUCCCCCAGUAGCGGCGAGCGAACGGGGAGGAGCCCAGAGCCUGAAUCAGCAUGUGUGUUAGUGGAAGCGUCUGGAAAGGCGCGCGAUACAGGGUGACAGCCCCGUACACAAAAGCGCAUGUGCUGUGAGCUCGAUGAGUAGGGCGGGACACGUGGUAUCCUGUCUGAAUAUGGGGGGACCAUCCUCCAAGGCUAAAUACUCCUGACUGACCGAUAGUGAACCAGUACCGUGAGGGAAAGGCGAAAAGAACCCCGGCGAGGGGAGUGAAAAAGAACCUGAAACCGUGUACGUACAAGCAGUGGGAGCNNGUGACUGCGUACCUUUUGUAUAAUGGGUCAGCGACUUAUAUUCUGUAGCAAGGUUAACCGAAUAGGGGAGCCGGAGGGAAACCGAGUCUUAAUUGGGCGUUAAGUUGCAGGGUAUAGACCCGAAACCCGGUGAUCUAGCCAUGGGCAGGUUGAAGGUUGGGUAACACUAACUGGAGGACCGAACCGACUAAUGUUGAAAAAUUAGCGGAUGACCUGUGGCUGGGGGUGAAAGGCCAAUCAAACCGGGAGAUAGCUGGUUCUCCCCGAAAGCUAUUUAGGUAGCGCCUCGUGAAUUCAUCUCCGGGGGUAGAGCACUGUUUCGGCUAGGGGGCCAUCCCGGCUUACCAACCCGAUGCAAACUGCGAAUACCGGAGAAUGUUAUCACGGGAGACACACGGCGGGUGCUAACGUCCGUCGUGAAGAGGGAAACAACCCAGACCGCCAGCUAAGGUCCCAAAGUCAUGGUUAAGUGGGAAACGAUGUGGGAAGGCCCAGACAGCCAGGAUGUUGGCUUAGAAGCAGCCAUCAUUUAAAGAAAGCGUAAUAGCUCACUGGUCGAGUCGGCCUGCGCGGAAGAUGUAACGGGGCUAAACCAUGCACCGAAGCUGCGGCAGCGANNGUUGGGUAGGGGAGCGUUCUGUAAGCCUGCGAAGGUGGCCUGUGAGGGUUGCUGGAGGUAUCAGAAGUGCGAAUGCUGACAUAAGUAACGAUAAAGCGGGUGAAAAGCCCGCUCGCCGGAAGACCAAGGGUUCCUGUCCAACGUUAAUCGGGGCAGGGUGAGUCGACCCCUAAGGCGAGGCCGAAAGGCGUAGUCGAUGGGAAACGGGUUAAUAUUCCCGUACUUGGUGUUACUGCGAAGGGGGGACGGAGAAGGCUAUGUUGGCCGGGCGACGGUUGUCCCGGUUUAAGCGUGUAGGUGUGUGUUCCAGGUAAAUCCGGUUCACUUUAACACUGAGGCGUGAUGACGAGGCACUACGGUGCUGAAGCAACAAAUGCCCUGCUUCCAGGAAAAGCCUCUAAGCAUCAGGUAACAUCAAAUCGUACCCCAAACCGACACAGGUGGUCAGGUAGAGAAUACCAAGGCGCUUGAGAGAACUCGGGUGAAGGAACUAGGCAAAAUGGUGCCGUAACUUCGGGAGAAGGCACGCUGACAUGUAGGUGAAGUGAUUUACUCAUGGAGCUGAAGUCAGUCGAAG
Molecule: ribosomal RNA, 1747 nt
Filed under: Salmonella enterica subsp. enterica serovar Infantis str. CVM N35518
Lineage: Bacteria; Pseudomonadati; Pseudomonadota; Gammaproteobacteria; Enterobacterales; Enterobacteriaceae
Description: bacterial LSU rRNA
Rfam family: Bacterial large subunit ribosomal RNA
Source: RNAcentral